This 2434-nucleotide long non-coding RNA is filed under the name Papio anubis (olive baboon). RNAcentral's name for it is "lncRNA (ENSPANG00000040079.1)". Lineage: Eukaryota; Metazoa; Chordata; Mammalia; Primates; Cercopithecidae. The record is from RNAcentral.
CCUUCUACUACAUCUUGAGAAGAAUUUAAAAUUCUUUAUGAUAUUUUCACAUACAGAAAUACAGAACUUAUCAUACACAGUACAGUCUUGCGAAGGUAACUGGAUGGGGAUGGAAGACAAAACAUUUUUUUUAAAAUCUCAGUGAAAGAUGUAAAAAAAAAAGACAAUUAUAUUUUUAAAAAUUAAUUUUAACCCUUUGCCAAGCACAUUUCAUAUAUAUUUAUCGAAUACAUAUUAUUCUGUAAAUCUGUUAAAAUUAUAUAUAGAUAAUUAUAAUUUAUUUUUAGUUUAAUGUAUUCUAUAUCCAUAUAUUAUCUGUAUGAAGAUAUUUAUUUGAUAUAAUUAACAUUUUAAAAUUCUGUUGUAUUUCUUUCUUUUGAUGAGAACUUUAGCAGAUACUAUGUAUCAAGAUAACCCUUAACUCCAUUGUUAAAAUAGUGUUAACUUAUGGGGCAUGUCAUAAGUUGCUACAGAAAUUAUCCUUUGUUUUUUUUGCCAUGCAGAAACAUGUUGCCUUCCUUCCUUUGAUGAAAUUUCAAAAAAAAAAAAAAAGAUCAGCUCUAAGGAUUGUAUAAGCUCUCCGUUUUGUAUCUAUGACUUCACUCCUUUGGGUCUCUCCAGCUGCACCCAGAUGUAAUACUGCUUAUAAGAAAAUCAGAUCCAGUUGUCAUCAUCAUGCCCACGGUAAAAUGCUCACUACGUUGUCAGUUUAAAUUAGUUCUUUUAUCUCAAAUCCCAAUAGUACUACCUUUAAGCUCUUUUCAUCCUGCAUUUUUAUCAUUAUCCAGUUCUGAGUAAACGUCAUGAAAUCUACUGGGACAACAUUUGAGAAACCAUCGUUCCAAAAAGUAGAGAAACAAAUUCCCUACGGAUACAGAAGGGAAACAGAAGUGCUUGCAGCAUCUCAUUUAUUUACCAGUGAGAGGAAGCAAGUGGGUGACUCUACCGGAAAAUCCAGAGAUAUUUGGGAUCUAGUGGGGAGAGAGGACGAUCAAAUAAUCUGAGAAUUAAAACAUCUUCUAAUAAACAUUCUUUUGCUAUAAAACUCUGGAACGGAGGCAACAGGUAUGCAUUUCCAAGAAGUCUAAACUUAUGACUACACUUUAAUUUUGGAAUUGUAUACAGAGCAGAAUACAGAAAGUCCAAUCAUCUCAUACUGUCAAUGCUAUUUCUUCCUAUUCUUGAAGGGCAGUGAUUGGACCUCCCACUGAUUCUAUGUGGUAACCGUAAGCAAGGUCCUUAAAAAGUGAUUUUAUUUUGUAAUUUUUUGGGGGAAGAAAACUAUAGGAUAUAUUGAUCCAAUGUGGGUAAAACCAACCUUUCUUUUGCAAAAGAUCCAAUUGAUCCCAGUGUAUUAAAAAAAAAGAAAAAAACAACUUAAAAACCGUCUUAAUGUCUCAUUCUAAUGUGGCCUCAUUAUACAAAAUCUGUUCUAAGAGUCAGAUUUUUAAUGGUUUUUUAGACCUUUAAUGUAACCCCAGGAUCAGAGUCUGAAAAUAUCUGUGUUUUUAUUAUCAGUACAUUUCCUAAUGUGUUUUGUGUAGCACUUGAUUAAGAAUCAAAGUGCUUGUAAAAGUGGGAAUAUCAUCUCCUACCAGUUGAAUCAGAGCUGAGCUGAUAAGUGUAAAAUUUGGUUUUAAAAUCAAAGGGUCAGGGCCCAGUGGCUCACACCUGUAAUCCUCAGGCUUUGAGAGUCCGAGGUGGGAAGAUCGCUUGAGGUCAGGAGCUCAGCACCAGGCUGGGCAUUAUAGUGAGACCCUGUCUCUACAAAAAAAAUAAAAUUAGUCGGGAGUGGUGGUGUGCCCUUGUAGUCCCAGCUACUCAGGAGGCUGACACGGGAUGAUCGCUUGAGCAUGGGAAUUUGAGGCUGUGGUGAGGUAUGACUGCACUCUAUACUACCACAACAGAACAUGACACUGUCUCUAAAAAUAAAUAAAUAAAAUCAAAGGGACUAGAAAUUUGAUUUUGAAAAUCCACCCAAGUGAAUUUUAUGCCUACUAAAGUUUAAACACUGAUUUUUAUAAACUUAAUGAGAUAUGUACUUUCUUUACCUGUCUACUCAUCAGAUAUCUAUGAUCAACCAAAUACAUUACCAAACUCAAAGAUAAACUUCAAAAUAACAAUGAAAUUGUUUAAGAAUUUGUACUGGCUCCGAGGUCACAUGGGCUCAGCUCUCAUUUUCAAGUCCUCCCUGUAACUCCAGGCAAGUUACUUUACCUCUUUAAGUAUCAGUAUAAGGUAGCUGUAAAAAUUUCAUAGAGAACCUGUACAGAGCACUUGGCACCAGUCAAUGUCAAAUCAGACAAUAAAAAGACUAAUAACAUUUAUUGAAUACUUAAUAUAUGCCAGGCUCUCUCCUAAGUGUUUUAUACAUCUUAACUCAUUUAAACCUUACAGCAAAAUGGUAAUAUGGGUGAAGUUGUACCUACAUUUU